RNAcentral lists this small nuclear RNA (107 nucleotides) under Dasypus novemcinctus (nine-banded armadillo). The record is from RNAcentral. Lineage: Eukaryota; Metazoa; Chordata; Mammalia; Cingulata; Dasypodidae.
GUGCUCGCUUUGGCAGUAUAUAUACUAAAAUUGGAAUGAUACGGAGAAGAUUAACAUGGCCCCUACACAGGCAUAACAUGGAAAUUCAUGAAGCACUCUGUAUUUUU